CUGCUUUCAGUUGCCACACAGUGUGUCUCUUCAAGCCCCGAUGACAGGCCAACCAUGCACAGGGUUGUUCAGAUUCUUGAAUCUGAAGUCAUGACACCAUGUCCAAGCGACUUCUAUGAUUCAAACUCUGACUGAAUGCGCUAUUGCUGGAUGCGAAGAACGUUAACCUUUGAGUUUGCAUCUGCAACUUCAUGCAAUAAAUUGAGGAGUGCGACUUCUAUGAUUCAAACUCUGAUUGAAUGCGCUAUUGCUGGAUGUGAAGAACGUUAACCUUUGAGUUUGCAUCUGCAACUUCAUGCAAUAAAUUGAGGAGUGAUGCAAGCAUUGGGGUUUCAAGUCUGCAAAGAUUCUUUUCUCUACUCUAUUUGUCGAUUCUUUCUGCAGAUUUGUGACAAAAGAACACCAUUUCA
Molecule: long non-coding RNA, 410 nt
Filed under: Nicotiana benthamiana
Lineage: Eukaryota; Viridiplantae; Streptophyta; Magnoliopsida; Solanales; Solanaceae
Description: long non-coding RNA (NBEN_LNC033350)
Source: RNAcentral